GACGAAGGGGGCUAGCGUUGUUCGGAAUUACUGGGCGUAAAGCGCGUGUAGGCGGUUGCCCAAGUCGGGUGUGAAAGCCUUGAGCUCAACUCAAGAAAUGCACUCGGUACUGGGUGACUAGAGGACCGGAGAGGAUAGUGGAAUUCCUGGUGUAGCGGUGAAAUGCGCAGAUAUCAGGAAGAACACCAAUGGCGAAGGCAGCUCUCUGGGACGGUACUGGACGCUGAGACGCGAAAAGCGUGGGGAGCGAACAGG
Molecule: ribosomal RNA, 255 nt
Filed under: uncultured bacterium
Lineage: Bacteria
Description: partial 16S ribosomal RNA
Rfam family: Bacterial small subunit ribosomal RNA
Source: RNAcentral